Molecule: ribosomal RNA, 1661 nt
Filed under: Salmonella enterica
Lineage: Bacteria; Pseudomonadati; Pseudomonadota; Gammaproteobacteria; Enterobacterales; Enterobacteriaceae
Also listed under: 2 other names
Description: partial 23S ribosomal RNA
Rfam family: Bacterial large subunit ribosomal RNA
Source: RNAcentral
CCCGAGGAAAAGAAAUCAACCGAGAUUCCCCCAGUAGCGGCGAGCGAACGGGGAGGAGCCCAGAGCCUGAAUCAGCAUGUGUGUUAGUGGAAGCGUCUGGAAAGGCGCGCGAUACAGGGUGACAGCCCCGUACACAAAAGCGCAUGUGCUGUGAGCUCGAUGAGUAGGGCGGGACACGUGGUAUCCUGUCUGAAUAUGGGGGGACCAUCCUCCAAGGCUAAAUACUCCUGACUGACCGAUAGUGAACCAGUACCGUGAGGGAAAGGCGAAAAGAACCCCGGCGAGGGGAGUGAAAAAGAACCUGAAACCGUGUACGUACAAGCAGUGGGAGCACAGGUUUACCUGUGUGACUGCGUACCUUUUGUAUAAUGGGUCAGCGACUUAUAUUCUGUAGCAAGGUUAACCGUAUAGGGGAGCCGGAGGGAAACCGAGUCUUAACCGGGCGUUAAGUUGCAGGGUAUAGACCCGAAACCCGGUGAUCUAGCCAUGGGCAGGUUGAAGGUUGGGUAACACUAACUGGAGGACCGAACCGACUAAUGUUGAAAAAUUAGCGGAUGACCUGUGGCUGGGGGUGAAAGGCCAAUCAAACCGGGAGAUAGCUGGUUCUCCCCGAAAGCUAUUUAGGUAGCGCCUCGUGAAUUCAUCUCCGGGGGUAGAGCACUGUUUCGGCUAGGGGGCCAUCCCGGCUUACCAACCCGAUGCAAACUGCGAAUACCGGAGAAUGUUAUCACGGGAGACACACGGCGGGUGCUAACGUCCGUCGUGAAGAGGGAAACAACCCAGACCGCCAGCUAAGGUCCCAAAGUCAUGGUUAAGUGGGAAACGAUGUGGGAAGGCCCAGACAGCCAGGAUGUUGGCUUAGAAGCAGCCAUCAUUUAAAGAAAGCGUAAUAGCUCACUGGUCGAGUCGGCCUGCGCGGAAGAUGUAACGGGGCUAAACCAUGCACCGAAGCUGCGGCAGCGACACUCAGGUGUUGUUGGGUAGGGGAGCGUUCUGUAAGCCUGUGAAGGUGGCCUGUGAGGGUUGCUGGAGGUAUCAGAAGUGCGAAUGCUGACAUAAGUAACGAUAAAGCGGGUGAAAAGCCCGCUCGCCGGAAGACCAAGGGUUCCUGUCCAACGUUAAUCGGGGCAGGGUGAGUCGACCCCUAAGGCGAGGCCGAAAGGCGUAGUCGAUGGGAAACGGGUUAAUAUUCCCGUACUUGGUGUUACUGCGAAGGGGGGGACGGAGAAGGCUAUGUUGGCCGGGCGACGGUUGUCCCGGUUUAAGCGUGUAGGUGUGUGUUCCAGGUAAAUCCGGUUCACUUUAACACUGAGGCGUGACGACGAGGCACUACGGUGCUGAAGCAACAAAUGCCCUGCUUCCAGGAAAAGCCUCUAAGCAUCAGGUAACAUCAAAUCGUACCCCAAACCGACACAGGUGGUCAGGUAGAGAAUACCAAGGCGCUUGAGAGAACUCGGGUGAAGGAACUAGGCAAAAUGGUGCCGUAACUUCGGGAGAAGGCACGCUGACACGUAGGUGAAGUGAUUUACUCAUGGAGCUGAAGUCAGUCGAAGAUACCAGCUGGCUGCAACUGUUUAUUAAAAACACAGCACUGUGCAAACACGAAAGUGGACGUAUACGGUGUGACGCCUGCCCGGUGCCGGAAGGUUAAUUGAUGGGGU